UACGGAAGGCAGCAGUGGGGAAUAUUGCACAAUGGGCGCAAGCCUGAUGCAGCCAUGCCGCGUGUAUGAAGAAGGCCUUCGGGUUGUAAAGUACUUUCAGUCGUGAGGAAGGUGUUAAGGUUAAUAACCUUAGCAAUUGACGUUAGCGACAGAAGAAGCACCGGCUAACUCCGUGCCAGCAGCCGCGGUAAUACGGAGGGUGCGAGCGUUAAUCGGAAUUACUGGGCGUAAAGGGCACGCAGGCGGUUAAUAAGUUGGAUGUGAAAUCCCCGGGCUUAACCUGGGAAUGGCAUUCAAGACUGGUUAGCUAGAGUCUUGUAGAGGGGGUAGAAUUCCAUGUGUAGCGGUGAAAUGCGUAGAGAUGUGGAGGAAUACCGGUGGCGAAGGCGGCCCCUGGGACAAAGACUGACGCUCAUGUGCGAAAGCGUGGGGAGCAAACAGGAUUAGAUACC
Molecule: ribosomal RNA, 452 nt
Filed under: uncultured bacterium
Lineage: Bacteria
Description: bacterial SSU rRNA
Rfam family: Bacterial small subunit ribosomal RNA
Source: RNAcentral